This 253-nucleotide ribosomal RNA is filed under the name uncultured bacterium. Its description in RNAcentral is "partial 16S ribosomal RNA". It matches the Rfam family "Bacterial small subunit ribosomal RNA", at positions 524 to 776 of the family's 1533-position model. The record is from RNAcentral.
UACAGAGGUGGCAAGCGUUGUUCGGAAUUACUGGGCGUAAAGGGCGCGUAGGCGGUUCGUUAAGUCCUGUGUGAAAUCCCCCGGCUCAACUGGGGAACUGCACAGGAAACUAGCGGGCUUGAGUUCGGGAGAGGGAAGCGGAAUUCCGGGUGUAGCGGUGAAAUGCGUAGAUAUCGGGAGGAACACCAGUGGCGAAGGCGGCUUCCUGGCCUGUUCUUGACGCUGAGGCGCGAAAGCUAGGGGAGCAAACGGG